Molecule: ribosomal RNA, 253 nt
Filed under: uncultured bacterium
Lineage: Bacteria
Description: partial 16S ribosomal RNA
Rfam family: Bacterial small subunit ribosomal RNA
Source: RNAcentral
UACGUAGGGAGCAAGCGUUGUCCGGAAUCAUUGGGCGUAAAGCGCGCGUAGGUGGCCCCGUAAGUCCGCUGUGAAAGUCAAAGGCUCAACCUUUGAAAGCCGGUGGAUACUGUGGGACUAGAGUACGGAAGAGACGAGUGGAAUUCCUGGUGUAGCGGUGGAAUGCGCAGAUAUCAGGAGGAACACCAAUAGCGAAGGCAGCUCGCUGGGACGUUACUGACACUGAGGCGCGAAAGCGUGGGGAGCGAACAGG